GUCUGGUGGAAAGAGUGGCAAAAAGAAGUAACAACAAUUAAUUUCUUGAAUUUAUUUUCAUGUUUAGUAUUAGUGUUAUUGCUAGUCUUUCUUUUUAAUUGUUGUUUUUGUACUAGUACCUUUUAGUGGAAUCUGGUGGAGGGCUUUCAAUUCUUGAAAUGUGUAAUGCGUUGAUAUGCCUAUAGCCUGGCUAUGAACAUUACUCUGACUAUAAAGUGCAGUUUUUUGCUCAAAGUUACAUAAUUCGCAGUAGUUUUUUUAAUACUUUUUUUCGGUUAUGGAUUUUGACAUCCGAUUGAGUACUAUAUGGGGUAAAAAUUUGGAAGCAUUAGUCUGUAAGUUGCCAUUGCAAAUAUUUCAUAUUAUCUUUAAGCGAACUGCAGAUAUUGUCUUAUUUGUAUUAGAAGAGCUCGCAUGCUUGUCUGUUUCUAGAACUGUGAGAGAGAGAGAGAGAGAGAGAGAGUCAGUUUUAUGAGCUUGUAAUCCUCUAUUAAUUUAGUUAUAGAGCUAGCAUAUAUAGGAAAGAUGCAUUUAGCGGAAAAGUCUUGAUUCUAUAAGUUGUUCUUCUUUUUUUAUGGAGAUGGUUCUAAAAAUUAGGAAUUAUUCUUACAAAUUAGUAUGGAUAUAAAAUGCAGUUCGGAAUUUCAUUCAACAAGCACAGUUUGUAAUUUAGGGCCUUGCUGGUCUAAUUCAUGGGGUUACUCCUUUUUCUUCUGCAGAGGAUUGAUUUUAUUAUUCUACUUGUAAGUGGUUCAGGUACCUUUGUAUAUGUUAUUAGCACCAUUUAGAAGUGCUUGAAUUAUGAUGAAAAAUGUUAAGGGUGGCUGCUUGCAUCCUGUUUCAUUGAAAAAAGAUUAGUUUCUACACAUCUUGUGAUUGUCCCCCUUCCUUUACUGGAUUCACCCGUUUAAACUCAUGCCUAAUGAUUAUGGAAGGGUGGAUUUUAAUUUACUUGCAGCAGUCCAAGGAGUAACUACAUAUAGUACCCAAGUUUAAAGUUACACCGUUUAACAUGUCCUAAAAUGGGACCUACCCAUGAUAAAAUAUCUGUUUGGUUCAUUUGUCCACUCUGAAAUGGAAUUCAAUUUGCUUGUGAGUUUAUUUGAUAUGAAGGCAUAUCCUGACAAGGCUGGUCUAGGAAUGGUUAUCUGAACCAUGUUGAUAUAUGUUCUCUGAUUAACUAGUAUUUGCAGAAGAACAAUGUUUCCUAUCAAAUUUCAAUUUAAACUUUAGCAGGAUCAAAGUAUAGGAUUUAACUCAGGAUAAGAUGAGACUGUUCAUCAUACUGUUUUGACUGGUCAGUUGCUGGUUGCUUUUUGACCGUUGAGCUUGCUAAUUAGGUUCUAAACUGCUUUCACUUUGUGCAGUGCAGCAAAACAAGAUAUGCAAUGAAGUUCUGUCCUAAAACAAGCCAUAGCUAACUGCUGUCUUUGCAAUUUUCACAUAAUUAUCCCAGUUUUAUCUAGCCAUUAGAUUUUAGGCCAUGCUAGGAUUUUUAAGCAUUCUAUGGCUGAAUAUUCUUUUCUAGUAGGCAGAAUAUCUUUCAACCACUAAACUGAAGCUUCUUUUGAUACUAGUAUUUUAAAGUAAAUCCUGCUUUCUUCAAAUAUGCCUAGGGAACCCCUUUGUGAUUUUAUGGUCAAUAUGGGGUUUAUUUGACACAAAUGAAGUUCAUGAAAAUUCCAACAUGGAACUUCAUUUUCCAUUGAAAUGAUUUUGUGAAUCCAAUCUACUUCUUAGAAAGCCAUCAUAUUGGUUAUCCACAUUACUUUCUUUUGCUUUAAAGUGUAGUUUACAUGCUAUAUGGAUUGCAUAAUGACCAAGAAAUAUGAUCUCAGUCUUGCCAAGGCUGUUAAAACACCAAAACAGAGUAUUGGAAUGUGUCCAAAUGAACAGCUGAUUAUAAGUAGAAAAAUUGUAUUUUUGGUUGCUAUGGCAUCUAAAUCAUUUUCUCUUUUUCUGCGAAGGCCAUUAUUCUGAUUACUAAUGCAUUUUCCUGCUUAUGUACAUGGUAUCAAGCAGAUAACCAUUGUCCAUUGCAAUAAGAAGUACAUACAAUGUUUUCAAAGGAAUUUGUGAGAGUUUUUCUCAGUCUAGAAGGAGGCUGGAAUUCACUUAGCAGCCGUUUUGGUUUUUGUUAUAGACGGCAUAUGUUAUUUCUAGUAUUAUUUGGAGAUUUGGAACACUUGUUGCAAAGUGCAAAAACAUAAUUUUUUUUUAACUAUUGCCAGAGUUAAAGAGUUUGGAUGCUAAGUUUUCAUGCAUCAUAUCAAUGGGCUACCUUAGUUGUGGUAGAAGUCAUCUUUCCAUCGGUUGUCCUUGUUCUGUUACCUUCACUGUUCUGUUCCAUACGGUUUUGUAUCUGUCUCAUAAUCAUUUCCCAUGGUUCUUUACCUCUAGUUGGCUAGUAUAUUGAGUGAGCAUGAAUUCUAGUUUCUGCACCCUGCUGGUGAAAAUCUAUGUUCUUGCUCCUUUCACGCUUUAAGUGCACUUGAAGGCUGUGAGUUUGAAGAUGCCUGAAGGAUUUUGGAAGAUGUUUAUGACUGCCUCACGGGUGGUUAACAUUGUUGCUGGUUGUUCCUUAAUAGAUGCUGUUCUGGUCAGGAUUGUUUCCUGUUGCUCUUGUUGAGAUCGUGAAUGUAAAGUAAUCUUGUUGUUUGUUUAUAGAUUUAUUAAUGCUUAAUCUCUUGCUGCAAGUCAUUCCACUGACUUUCUUCCAAUUGGUGGACAAUUUUUAGAUUACGCCCUUCUCCAAAACAUUUAAUUAUUUCUUUUCACGCAUCCUUUUCAGAAAGAAGAACUACUUUCAUGAUAAAAUAUUUGAUAUCAUUCUUGGUGGCUGUGCUUGGUGCUUAUGCAUAAUCUGGCCAGAGCAAGCCUUAUGCAUAAAAUUUGGGUAAGAGCUAAGUCAACCACAUUGACAUAUCAACAGUAUAACAUAAAUAGUGGUGUUAAGCAAAUGAGUCGAUGAUCGACUUAGAAUGUGUAGAAUCAUAGAAAGUGCACACAUGUUAAGUCGAUAUGGUACUGUUCCUCAUAAUAUCUUUGUGGGUCUCUUGGUGGUUCCUCCAAAAGAUUUAGCGUGAUUUUGAGGUUGAGACUAGUUUCACUUUACUCGUGGUGAAAGGACAAGUUUCGCAUAAAUUAUAAUAUCGAAGGACAAGUUUCGCAUAAAUUAUAAUAUCGAACAAAUUAGACUUGAGCAAGCUGUUCUUGUUUGCUAGAGCUACAUUUUUCAAGUGAUUAAGGCUGACACUUAACAUUCAGCACUAUUUAGUUUCAUCCUGGUGUUCUGGGUGAAUAUUGAUGUUUUUGUGUUUUAGUUUAUGCUAUGCAAGUGUUUCAGCUUCUUAAUUGACUCAAUAAUUUUGAAUUAAGAAUGGCCUGUUGGCAACAAUUGUGGUACCAUCAUUAUUAUUCUUUUAUUUUGGUGAGUUUUGCUGUUGUAUAUGCUGGUAGCAUGUUAGAAUUUGUAUCUGAGUAUGGGAGCAACUUAAUGAGGAUGUCAAUGCAGAUCAUUUGUUCUGGAAUUCUGCUUUUGAUGUAAUGAGGUUUGGUUGUUCUCCUGCAUAAUUAUGUGUAUCUUGAGACCUGCUUCGGUAAUAUGCUCUGUAGGAAACAGAGAGCACCAACUAGGAUUGUGUUAACAAACUGACAGAGUCAGGUUGAGGUAUUCUCGAACAUUUAAAGUCGAGAGCAUCAAAGUGUGACAUUAAAUUUCGCUAUUAUCUCCUUAACAAAUCAUUGAGUUUCUCUCGGAUACAAAUCAGGUGCUGUUUUUUGGAUCUAGCAGUUCAAACCUCCAAAGUAAAUGCAGUGUACUGUCUUCAAGUCAACCACUGAUCUUAUACCAGCUAUCCUUUUCAUCUUGACCCGUAUUUCUUGAGUUAAGAGCUCACGGUUCUUUGCUUAGCACCAGUUCUUUUUUUGGUUAUUCCCUAAUUCGUCCCCUGUUUGCAUCGUCACUUGUGGAAUAGCGAUUACAGUAUUAGUCUGUUGUUAACUGGUUCAAAUGGAUCCAAAGGUUACCAUGAAAAUGAGGUAAUGCCAAAAGCUUCUAAUUCAAACAUGGUACCCGGGUUCAGAAAAAGUUUCACCGACCUUUCAGAAAAAACUGUAUAUAUGGAAGAGAUAACAGAAGGCGCAAACACUGGAAGCUUCAUUCUGUGGUAGUGGUAGUAGUUAAAGGAGCAUGUUAUGAAGCAAGACAAAGCUGUUCAAGCACCAAUUAGUUGAGUUUCAGUUUCCAGGUAAACUUAGUAUGAUAAUGAAGUUGACACACCAUAUGAAGUAUCAUUGCUGAAGCAGAUUGUGGUUCCUUUAGAUACUGUAUGCUGUACUAUUUGUAAGGGAGAAUGUGUAAUGUUUGUGGCUUUGGAGUCUUUUUGCUCAGCUGUUGAAUCGAAACCAUAGACGACAUCAAUUUCUUUGACUGGCUCUUUAUUGUAUUAGUUACAAAUUUGCAGAUCUUAUGCCAAUUGUAUUGUGCAUUAUUUUGAUGACGCUGCUUGAUUGGUAAGAAUUUUAUUGAAUCAUUCGGCUAAUUUGAAUACUCCUCAGUCAUGGCAAUUAAUGGAUGGUUUAGCACUUAGCAUAUUAUUAUUCAAGAUUAGGAGGACCUUGGUCUAAGUUAUGUCAUAAUCAGAUGUUUUAUCUGGAAGAACUAGGAAAUUUGAUUGUAUUAUAAAUCCAGUGACUGUUUUUAGCACUGGUGUUCAAGAUCUUGUGUGUGAUGCAAGAUAACCGGUAUCUCUCUCUCUCUCUCUCUCUCUCUCUCUCUCUCUCUCUCUCUCUCUCUCUGCCCUGUGAUUUGAAACAUUAAUAGUGUGUUUGGAUAGGAUGUUAUUUGGAAAAAAAUUUUGAAAUAAUAUUUUAGCACAUUUUGUGAUAUGAUAUAUGUAACAUAAAAAGAAAUUAAAAAAAAGUAAUUAAAAAAUAUGUUUAUGAUAUUAGGAAAAAAAAAAAAGAACUAGUGGUCUGGAUGUGAUAAUUUUGCUCAUCAAUCCUCUUUACUAGCAUGUCAGCCGAUUUUUUAUUGUCUUUUCGAGGAUAAUAAUGAGUGAUGAGUAAAUAAACAUAUAGAUGAAAGAGUAGAAUCAUCACUGUAACAACAAUGUUCAUUUUUUCUGUUGGGAAGCGAUGAAUGUAAAAUUGGAAUCCUCUAAAUUAUAAGUCUAAAGAAAAUAACCAACAAAAGAAACAAAUUAAUUUAAAAAAAGAAGCACAAAUUGUAGCAAAUAAGAUUGAAAGUAAUCGGUAUAUAUAUGGAGGAAGGUGAUAAAUGUAUAGAAAUAAAAAAAAAAAAAACAAAAUGAGCAUGCCAACAUAAAGAAAUCCAUGAAACCUUCUUGAUCACAGCUGUGUCAACUUUUGCAAUCAAUGGAGCCAAUAAUUGAAAUAUGCGUAUACUAUAGGGUUCUCAACGAUAAUUUACAUUGUAAUCUAUGAUGGGCCAUUUUCGUAAUAUAAAGAUAAUUUCAAUUUUUUAGCAAUGCAUUUUUUUGCACCUUGGAUGUCUUUUAUUUUCUUUUUCUAUGCAUUUCAAAAAUUUCACGUGACUAAACUUCAACAUUUAUUUUCUGGAAAUAAUAAUUGUUCAAAGUUUUGUUCCAAGUAUUUAUAGGAAAAGUAGAUCGACCAACAUACAAAUUAGACUAGAAAACGUUAAAGAAUAUUUUAUUGCAAAACUAAAGCACCUAUACUUUGUAGUUUUUUAUUUUAUGAAUGAGGAUACUCAAUGAUAGUCUUUACCAAAACUUUUAUGUUUGUUACAAAGAGGAUAAUUGAUGAUGAUAAUUUUUGGCAAAACAUUUAUGUUGUCUGUUGCUUAGGCUUAAAGUUCUUUUGGGCAAUUAACUCCAAUGAAUUACUGUCUAAUCUGAUCUCCCAGAUAGAACUACUAAUUUGAAUACAUUAUUUCUAUUGUUUGCUUUGUACUUUAUUAUUGGUUUCUAUUGUUUUCUUGAUAAGCUUGACUUAUUUCAACCAUAUCGAUUAUAUUGUUUGAUUGAUAUCCGCAACUAAUUCUUGUUACUUACUUUAAGACAAUAUAAAUAUCUAUAUCUAUAUCUGCAUGUAUUAGAGGGUAAGGUUUUAUGAGGAGUCUCCACAAACAUAAAAAUUUGAAUCCCUUUUUAUUACAAUUUUAGAUUUAUUUUCAUUCAUUAAUUUUUAUUGCUUCCCCUUAUCCCUUCCUAUUUUCCAAUUUACGAGACCCACUAAUUCACAAAAUCAAAACUCCAAAAUUUUAACUAACAGAUAAUAACUACCCUUGCAAAAUCACAUUUACAAAUCCCAAAUCAUGUCUGACGUCUAACACUUACCACACGACUGAUCACAUCUGCAAAUCUCAAAUCACGUCUAACAUUUUACCCUUACAAUCAUUCAUAAAACUAGUGAUCACUAACCCAUUUUCAUUUGUCAUCCAAACAAACCAAAUAUGCUUAGGAAAAAACGAAAGACUGCGUAUCAUGCUCUCACCAUGGAUGAAUCCUACCUACAAGCAUUUCAACUACGUCUUACUUCCAAACUUGCAAGAUUGCAAAGCAGAAAACAACUGAUCACAAAACAAAACCUAUACCGUAGUGAUCCCACUGAAAUAUUUCAAAAGGUUUAACAAGUUCACUUCCAAGAAAGAUAAGUCUCACUGAAUAUUCUUUUGUAGUACGAACUCCACAAAAUUCUGAUACGAAAUAUGGGCCGCUUAUGGGCCAUGUUUUGGGUUGCAAGAGACUGAAUCUUUUAGUAAUAGUUAGUAGUUUAUUUUCUAGAUUUCUAUUUUAUUUGCUAGGAAUAAAUUCGGUCCAAGACCUCAUGUUGAUUUGGAUCCGAUUUAUAGAGUCUAGGCUCACUAUAACUUAAGUUGGUUAAUUAGCUUUUAUUGGGUUAUGUUGGGCCAGCUUAAAGCCUUCAUUGGAUCGAUUAUAAGCUGACCAUUAGAUAGUGGAUUUGAGUAGUGGAAUCGGGCCAAAGGCCUAGCCUAGCCGAGUUAGGUUUUCAAGUCACUUUAGGUUUUCAAGUUGUAUGGCUAUAUAUAGCCAAGGCAAGAGACCUUCAUAGGCGGUUUUGAAGAUCAAUAAAAUUGUGAGUUUUCACUUUUCUCUUUCCAAGAGAGCCUCUUUGAAUAUUUGAGAAUCUUUCUCAAGUUAUUCAAGUGAACUUAUCAAUCAAGUAACUCCUUGGUUGUGGCGUUCCUCUACCUAUAGUUUGGUUCGCUAAUUCAUUAGUUAACGGGUUGAGAUAAUAUCAAUAGUGUUCGUUAUCACGGGGAUUAGAUUUGGGUCAAAUUUCCGCUGCUAAACCGUUGGUGAUUCGUUGUCUAGAUCGCGUCAAGUGAGUAUCACAUCAAAUUCAACAGAGUCAAUUAAACCACCAAUAUUGAAUUUCAUACUAAAGGUUGAUUGGUGUGAAAUAUGUUUGCACAUUCGUACAAAAUUAUCAAAGCGAAUGUAUAAUGUUUAUAAGUAUUUCAUUUUGAAAUCAAAUAAAACAUCUAAUUACAUUCAUUUUCUAAUAUAAAUUUCUAUUAGUAUUCCAAGAUCUAUCUUCCUCAAAAAUGCAAUUCUUGAAUGAUGUACACAUUUUAUCAUUGAACUACUGCUAGACAAAUCUUAGAUUUUAAUUGUGUUGGUAUAAUUUUUUUUACUUUUUCUUUUUAAUUCACACUUUCUUUUAAUUUCUUUCAAUAAUGUAAACACCAUGCUUAACGCACAGGUAUUCACACUAGUUUACAUACUAAUGAAGGUGUGUGGAAUAUCUUGAGGGAAAACAACAGCACAUUAAUAAUCCAUUAUUAUCUACUAAACUGAUGUUGUCAAUGUACUCAUGAUUAAGAUUUUGAGGAGUAAUUACCAUGGAUUAGUGUCUAUAAAGAACUUUUAUAUGAGCAAAUCCAAUUACUAUGGAUUAAUAUUUCUUAUACCUAUAUAGAAUUUUUUUUUAAAAAUACAAGUCCAAAUGUAUGCGACAUGUGAAAAAGGACAUAACAGAUGUGCUUUGACAUUAUUACAUGUCAUGACUUGGUGGUGUAAACAAUUUGUUACACUGACAAUUUAAAAAAUAUCAAUACAUGAAAAAUGAGUAUAGGCAUAUAAUUAUGACCUUGUUUGGGAGCUGAGUUUUUUUGCCUAAUUUUUUUACUACUAGUUUUUUAAUAACUUUAACCACUAAAACCUCAAAAAAAAAA
RNAcentral lists this long non-coding RNA (8185 nucleotides) under Coffea arabica (coffee). RNAcentral describes it as "long non-coding RNA (CARA_LNC006623)". The record is from RNAcentral. Lineage: Eukaryota; Viridiplantae; Streptophyta; Magnoliopsida; Gentianales; Rubiaceae.